UUGAAAACGCUGACUGUUGAUCCCUCAGGCAGAGGUCUGGAGUCUGCCCAGUCUGUCUGCAGCGUCGCAGCCCGGGCUAAGCUUUCUCGGGUCAUAAUGACAGAACCCAGGCACAGCCCCCCGGGACCGUUCCUUCCGCGAAAUCAGCCGAAAGCCCCCAAGGGAUAGGACCGGGCAGGGGUUGGUGUCUGGGAAACUGGUUGUGAGAAACGGACUUCACACAGCCCCUGAGCUGGAAGCAUCGAGUACGACCCUUUCACUUCACAGAAGGGGAAACUGAGGCCCGAAGAGGGAGGCGGCCGCUGGGUGGGGUUGGAAAGAGAGCCCCGGUUUCCAGGGCCAGCGCAGUUCUCAAUCCAUGAUGUGGCCAUGGGCAAGUCGGUUCCCUUUUGCGGGCCUCGGUUUCCCCAACUGUAAAAUGGGUGCGUCGGACUGGAUCCUCAACAGAACUGCCAGAUGAAUGAACUGGUAGACUGGCCUAAGAGCCCUCGGUGUCUCCUGGCAAAGCCUCGUUCUAGAAAUCCAGCCUCUGAACUCUCAUCAGCUGUCGCGUUCACUGAGCCAAACCCAGGACAACAAUCAACACAGAAGACUUUGGUGACCAAAUGUCUGGGGGUUUUUCCCCACGCACCAAGAAGCAAUCAAUUCUGCAGCGGACACCAGCUGAGUAUCCUCCAAUCCAAUUCUGAUACUGUCCACAUGGAGAUAGUGUCAGAUCCCACAGGGGGAGGAUUCAGUCCCCCAAACUCACCCCACCCCUCUUCAGACACCAGUCGCCAGACUGACUGGCUUCAAGUUGGGGUUUCCAUGACCCCCUCUUUGGGUUCAAUUGAUUUGCUAGAGUGGCUCAUAGAACCUAGGGAAAUGCUUGCAAAAACCCAGCAAGUCCUGUCCAGAUUCUUCUUGGCCGCUCUGGGCAGCAUUCCUGCAGGGUGUGGGGCAGGACCCACUCUACAAUGAGAAUUUGAUGACCCACAAUCGGAUUAGAGUCCUGCCUUGAACAGGUGAAAGGGGGGCAGAAGAAGGUCGCAUUCUGUUUCCUGCGGCCUGCUUCUGAGACCUAAAGUGCCCCAACAUUGUAUCAAAAGACUGUAACAAAGGCUAUAGGAGGCAGGAACCAUUGGAUGAAAACCAAUGUACAUCUAUGUCAUAAUAUCACAAGGAUUCAGCCAAGUUCUUUGCCACUUUAUAACUGGGAUCACCUUUUCUCCAGUUUCCAAUAACAUUUUCCUCAUCUCUAUCUGAGACCUUUCCAGAAUCACCUUUAAUAUUCAUAUUUCUGGAUUCAGAGUCCAGGGUGCUAACCAUUAUACCAUUGAGCUGCCAUUAAUAUUCAUAUUUCCACCAACAUU
Long non-coding RNA from Microcebus murinus (gray mouse lemur), 1352 nucleotides. RefSeq lists it as uncharacterized. The record is from RefSeq and is a predicted model, not a curated record. NCBI's taxonomy places the organism in Eukaryota, Metazoa, Chordata, Mammalia, Primates, Cheirogaleidae.